This 492-nucleotide ribosomal RNA is filed under the name uncultured bacterium. Its description in RNAcentral is "partial 16S ribosomal RNA". It matches the Rfam family "Bacterial small subunit ribosomal RNA", at positions 28 to 507 of the family's 1533-position model. The record is from RNAcentral.
GAUGAACGCUAGCUACAGGCUUAACACAUGCAAGUCGAGGGGAAACGCCAUCGAAGGCUUGCUUUUGAUGGGCGUCGACCGGCGCACGGGUGAGUAACGCGUAUCCAACCUGCCCAUCACUUGGGAAUAACCUUGCGAAAGUAAGACUAAUACCCAAUGAUAUCCCACGAAGGCAUCGGAAUGGGAUUAAAGAUUUAUCGGUGAUGGAUGGGGAUGCGUCUGAUUAGCUUGUUGGCGGGGUAACGGCCCACCAAGGCAACGAUCAGUAGGGGUUCUGAGAGGAAGGUCCCCCACAUUGGAACUGAGACACGGUCCAAACGCCUACGGGAGGCAGCAGUGAGGAAUAUUGGUCAAUGGGCGAGAGCCUGAACCAGCCAAGUAGCGUGCAGGAAGACGGCCCUAUGGGUUGUAAACUGCUUUUAGAAGGGAAUAAAGUGGGUCACGUGUGACUUUUUGCAUGUACCUUAUGAAUAAGGACCGGCUAAUUCCGUG